This 542-nucleotide ribosomal RNA is filed under the name uncultured bacterium. Its description in RNAcentral is "bacterial SSU rRNA". It matches the Rfam family "Bacterial small subunit ribosomal RNA", at positions 331 to 883 of the family's 1533-position model. The record is from RNAcentral.
CCAGACUCCUACGGGAGGCAGCAGUGGGGAAUAUUGCACAAUGGGCGGAAGCCUGAUGCAGCAACGCCGCGUGCGGGAUGACGGCCUUCGGGUUGUAAACCGCUUUCACCUGUGACGAAGCGUGAGUGACGGUAAUGGGUAAAGAAGCACCGGCUAACUACGUGCCAGCAGCCGCGGUGAUACGUAGGGUGCGAGCGUUGUCCGGAUUUAUUGGGCGUAAAGGGCUCGUAGGUGGUUGAUCGCGUCGGAAGUGUAAUCUUGGGGCUUAACCCUGAGCGUGCUUUCGAUACGGGUUGACUUGAGGAAGGUAGGGGAGAAUGGAAUUCCUGGUGGAGCGGUGGAAUGCGCAGAUAUCAGGAGGAACACCAGUGGCGAAGGCGGUUCUCUGGGCCUUUCCUGACGCUGAGGAGCGAAAGCGUGGGGAGCGAACAGGCUUAGAUACCCUGGUAGUCCACGCUGUAAACGGUGGGUACUAGGUGUGGGGUCCAUUCCACGGGUUCCGUGCCGUAGCUAACGCUUUAAGUACCCCGCCUGGGGAGUAC